UACGAAGGGGGCUAGCGUUGCUCGGAAUGACCGGGCGUAAAGGGCGCGUAGGCGGUUUGACAAGUCUGAUGUGAAAUCUAUGGGCUCAACCCAUAGCCUGCAUUAGAAACUGUCGGGCUUGAGUAUGGGAGAGGUGAGUGGAAUUUCCGGUGUAGCGGUGAAAUGCGUAGAUAUCGGAAGGAACACCUGUGGCGAAAGCGGCUCACUGGACCAUAACUGACGCUGAGGCGCGAAAGCUAGGGGAGCAAACAGG
Molecule: ribosomal RNA, 253 nt
Filed under: uncultured bacterium
Lineage: Bacteria
Description: partial 16S ribosomal RNA
Rfam family: Bacterial small subunit ribosomal RNA
Source: RNAcentral